RNAcentral lists this ribosomal RNA (253 nucleotides) under uncultured bacterium. Its description in RNAcentral is "partial 16S ribosomal RNA". It matches the Rfam family "Bacterial small subunit ribosomal RNA", at positions 524 to 776 of the family's 1533-position model. The record is from RNAcentral.
UACAGAGGAGCCAAGCGUUGUCCGGAUUGACUGGGCGUAAAGCGCACGCAGGCGGUUGCGCGCGUGGGGGGUGAAAUCUGGCCGCUUAACGGCCAGGCGCCAUCCCAUACGGCGCGACUGGAGUGAUGCAGAGGUCGAUGGAAUUGCCGGUGUAGUGGUGAAAUGCGUAGAGAUCGGCGGGAACACCCAGGGGGAAACCAGUCGACUGGGCAUCUACUGACGCUGAGGUGCGAGAGCGUGGGGAGCGAACCGG